CGCGUAGCUCAGAUGGUUAGAGCGCACGCCUGAUAAGCGUGAGGUCGGUGGUUCGAUUCCACUCGUGCC
Molecule: transfer RNA, 69 nt
Filed under: Streptococcus salivarius
Lineage: Bacteria; Bacillati; Bacillota; Bacilli; Lactobacillales; Streptococcaceae
Also listed under: 3 other names
Rfam family: tRNA
About the family: Transfer RNA (tRNA) molecules are approximately 80 nucleotides in length. Their secondary structure includes four short double-helical elements and three loops (D, anti-codon, and T loops).
Source: RNAcentral